This 6272-nucleotide long non-coding RNA is filed under the name Equus caballus (horse). RNAcentral describes it as "lncRNA (ENSECAG00000045717.1)". The record is from RNAcentral. Lineage: Eukaryota; Metazoa; Chordata; Mammalia; Perissodactyla; Equidae.
CUGGAAGCUGGUGUGAGAACGCAGGGAAGGGCCCGUGCUGCGGCGCUGGCUCCAGAGCGUCGAUUGUGGGCAUUUCUUCCCAGCUCUGUGGUCCAUGAGGUCACUACGUGAGUGGUCAAUUUUUUGUGUCAACUCGACGGGGCCGGGGGCGGGCCCAGAUAUUCAGUCAAAUGUGAUCCUGGGCGUGUCUAUGAGGGCGCUUCUGGAUGAGAUUACAUUUGAACCGGUAGACCGGUCCACCAGAUCAUCCUCCCCCAAGUGGGUGGGCUUCAGAGGCCACAGUUUAGUUCUGCCGUCACCGUUUCCUCUUGGCCAAGAGACCUGGAUGUGGCAAGACGAGCAGAGGCUGCACCCUGGAGUCAUUCCCGUCCCUCCCAACCUUUCACCCGGCUGGGAUGGUCCUUCAUUUUUCCUUUAUCUUGGGGGCCCUGGGGUGCAGAGGGCCGUGUUAAUGACCCUUCUCUAUACUCAGUCCAGGGCCCCUGCUGUCCACGUCCAUCCUCGUGUUCAUACCAACUCGUAUGUUUGCCACAUGCGUGUGACACGUGUGUGACGCGUGUGCCACUGUACAGGACCCGGAGCGCUAUUUCCAGUGAGAGGAAAACCGGUGACUUUUAACUAGAAGCCGACUUUCGACAGCAGGAGCGUGCCAUGUGCACGCGAAGAGCAGGUCCAGCUGAACAUGGUCUUCCCAGGUGAUGACAAGCAAAAGGGUGCAGUCACUCGGGAAGCCGGCCGGCCACUGUCCACUGUCACAGCAGCCAGGCAAGUGUGGUACUCAGAGCCCCGCAUGCAAACCUCGGGAUACGACGCAGGAUUUUUAAAGGCUGGAUCUGAAAGCCACUAGAUCAUGGGAUUCUAAAAACGUCUGUUCUAAAUUGUCAGCACAAUGCUCAAGGCCAACUGCUCCGUGCCAGGAAAGGGAUCCCCGGAGCACAUGGGCAGGUGCCAGAAGGGCUGAUGAAAUGCUGCAGUUUCGGGCAGUGCUUCCAGGAAACCAGUCCCAUGAGAUUGCUCCCUGUAGCGAGAUGGGCGAUGCCUGCACAAGGCCUGGGGACACUGUCCACAUCCACUGAGGAUGUGACUGGGUCCCUGGAGUGGGAAACAGCAGACCUGCCCAUCGCUGAGACCGUGUCAAACUAAGGCCCAGAGCUCUGGCCUCGUCCUUUUAGGGACAGAGAGUUGUGACUUGGUCUGGGAAGAGAAGCAGGUGGCAAGGUGGGGAGUGACAUCCCUCCCUAGAGAGGGGAAGCCCCACCCCUCCAGCCUCUGGUCCAACAGGCAGCAGUACCAGUCCUCUGAGCCGGCUGCCUCUUCUCACAUCUCUCUCCAGAGUGCGCUUGCCAGCGAAUAAAGGUUUAGAGUAAUCAGGCCCCAAAUAUGGCUUGUGAUUGAUUUACACUAAAAAAUUAUUGUCUGAAAUUCACAUUUGACUGUGCAUCCUGUGUUUUAAAAAAUUUUAUCGAUGUCAUCCUUUUUAAAAAGCAGUUGUAGGUUCACAGCAAACAGGAGCAGAACGUACAGAGAAUUCUCACAUCCCACAUACCCUCUAUCGUCCCCUCCCCAACCAGCCUCUCCCACAGCCCACACCCCUCGCCAGAGGGCUGUGUUUGUUAUAAGCCAUGAACCUACAGUGACACGUCAUCACCCGGAGUCCACAGCUGACCUCGGGGUUCACUCUUGGCGGUAUGGGCGGAUGUAUAAUGACCUGUAUCCAUCUGGAGGAGGGUCGGCCCUAAAUCCAAUGACGAGUGUCCUUAUGAGAGGAGAAGGCCCUGUGAAGAUGGAGGCAGGCUUUGGAAGGAUGUGUCUACAAGCCAAGGGAUGCCACGGCUAGCUGGCUGUCACCAGACCCUGGGAGAGAACGCUGGAACGAUUCUCCCUCAGCCUCCAGAAGGACCCCACCCUGCUGACACCUGGAUUUCAGACUCCUGGUCUCCAGAACUGAGAGAGGAUCAAUUUCUGUCGUCUGAAGCCACUCAGUUUGUGGGCAUGCGUUACGGUCACCCUAGGACACCGAAACAGGACGUGAUGAGGAAAGGGAGAUAAACACGUCAGUCAAGGUACAGCCUCCGUACAAGAGAGCCACACACGCGGCAAACCCGAAACCGUUUCUAGAGGUAGACCAGGGAAGACAACAUGUGUGCUGUUUAUCACAACAGGAAAACUAAACAACAAGGACAAGAAGGGAGAAGUGGCCACACGGCACAGAUAAAAAUGUGAGAAAUGCUAUAUUUCACAAUUUUAUCUGUUCUGCCACUCUGACUCAGUGAUCAAUGAGGAUCUGUCUUUUUUCCACCCAAAAAGAACAUGUUGCAUAAGCUCAGGCUUCCAGGGACCAGCGGAAAGCAGAAAACACCAUCUGAAGCUCUCCCCAGUCAGCUCAACGAGUGGCCCCCGUUCCCCAGACGGCGUCCGCGAAGCCGUAGAGAUGAGCUGAUGUCUGCUCACCCCGGGAGGGAGGCGGGGGCGCAGGUACUGACGGUGCCAGUUCAGGGGUUCAAGAGAAAAUGCCGGCAGGCGGCUUCAGCAAAGACUUAGAAUUUGUCGGCAUCAGUGCUCUUUCCCGGAGAAAAGCCUUCUUGGAAAUUCUGCGUUUUCUUAAGGAACACGAAGAACAUUUCCAAGGGCGUGUUAGGCCUCAGCCUUUCAGAACAACCCUGUUUGCUAAGCUUUGUGCCUCGCCCAUCUCUGCCAGUCAGCACCUGAAGGUGUCCCCAGGGCAGGGGAGGGAGGGAAUUUGAGAUCAGAGGGCCACCGUGGUGUUUGGGGACACUGGAAAUGACGGGUGGCCCUCCAUGCCCUGGACACCUGGGUCUGGGCUGUUGUCUCCUUCACAUGUGGUCCCUCCUGCUUUGCUUCAUCAGUGGCAGGACAGGGUUACCUCUGCAGCGAGCCCCACUGGGCCACGUCCACGGCAACCUUAAUAGAGAGGGGCAGCGCCAGUCUGACGGACAACCCACGUGUUCGGCAUCCAGGGACGCCACGAUGAAGUGCCCACCUCACACAGCGCUCCCUUCCCCCCGUGUCCUGAAACCCCCUCCUCUGGGGAGCCCCAGACAAUGCAUUGCUUCCUCCACGGUUCUUCCCCGAACACGCAGCCUGUGACCCUGUUACAAUACUUAGCGCACAGCCAGUGGUCCCGUCAGGAGACAGAAACCACACAGCUGUUUUAGCAGAGACAAUUUAAUAAAGAAGAAUGUAGCAGGAUUGCCAUCUGGGUAUAAAGUUAUUGGCACCUUGUUUAUAAAGGUCCUGUGAGAACCCCAAGGCAUCACGGGGUAGAACUGUAGGCAGCAGCUACCUCCUAAAGAGAAGGGGUUGGAGGGAUGAUAACGUGGAAGCCGGGAAGGGAGACCCCACGGUGCUCAACGUCUGACCUCUGGGGAGGAGACACCGGCCAGCCAAUGGGGUGGGUGUCUCUGAGGGGGACAGUGUCACUGAUUCUGCAAGUAAUGGAAGUAUGCAGACUGCAUCAACUGCGGUGUGAGAAGGAACAGCCACUGCUACAGUGAAGAAGUGUCACUGGGGAUGCUCCCAGAAACAGGGAGCAGACAGGAAGGACCCGUCCCUCCACCUCCAGCCCUGCAGCCUCCUCCGGCGUCCACUCCCGGCGGAGCCCCCCGGGGAACAGCUGGCGUGGUUUGCAGCAUCCCAGCCCCGGCUUCACAGGGCGGGCCGUGGAACUGAGGUUUGGAACCGGGAGCCCACAGCUUUAUCACUGGCACGGUCCUCUCCUUCGCUUCUCAGCUUCCAGACACACCUUUUACUCCUAUCUGAACUCCCCUGCAGAAACAGCAAGGACUUUGUGUGUCUGUCCAACAAGCUUCCCACAGCUAAUACCCUUCAUGCAGAUGAAGGCGUUCUCACCCUCUCCCCGACGUGAGGAGCUGCGGGGCCCACGCAUCUCGUGUCCAUCUUUGGGAGGUGUCACACUGCAGCUCUGGGCUCCAUCACAUACUUCCCAAAUCCAGUCACAGGCUGCACUGGUUCCCUACGGCUGCUGUUACAAAUUGCUGCAAAUUUAGUGGCUUCAGACGACACAGAUUUAUAUCUUGCAGCUCUGGAGCAGCUCAGAAGUCUGACCGGGGUCUGGCUGGGCUUAAAUUGCCAGGGCUGUGUUCCUUCUGGAGGCUCUUGGGGAAAAUGUAUUUCCAGCCUUUUCCAGCUUCUGGAGGCUGCCCCAUUUCUCGCCUCCUGGGCUCUUCCUCCAUCUUUAAAGGCAGAAAUACUCCAUCUUUCUCUCCACUCUUCUUUUCUGAAUCCCUAAGGUCUUCCCGGAGUCUGACACAGCAGGACGCUCAGUAAAUACAAGGCAGCGGAUUCUUAUAAGUGUGGCUCCGUGUGAGUCCUUCUUUUCCAGGAGAUUAUAAGCACCAGAGAACCAGGCUGUGUCUACAUCACCAAGAGGGCUGCCUCCAUCAAAUCCAGGCACGAUUGGACCUACGUGCCUGAAACAAGCAUAUCGAAGAUUAAUACGUGUUUUUCAAUUGGCUUAAAUUUUUUCGGUAAAGCAGUCAGCAUGUUAACCUCCCUUCUGUUAAAGAAAUGAUCAAGAAUUCAUACCCUCGUAAGAAUUAGUUCAUAAAUUCUCCAUCAAAGAGUAGAAUGGGAAAAGAAAGAGGGAUAGUGUGAAAGCACAAAGCAUGUUGUAGAGGGUUAAAUGGGGCCCCCACCCCAAAUAUGUCUAAAUCCUAACCCCCAUACUUGGGAACGAUGACCUUAUUUGGAAAUAGGAUUUUUGCAGAUGAAAUUAACUUCAGGGUCUCAAGAUGGGAUCGCCCUGGACUUAUGGUGGGUCCUAAAUCCAGGGAUGGGUGUCCUUAUAAUAACUGGAGAAGACACAGAGCCACGGUGGGGACGGUGACGUGAAGACAGAGGCAGAGAUUGGAGAGCUCCGUCUACCAGCCAGGGACCGCCAAGGGUCGCCGGCAACCGCCAGAAGCUGGAAGAGGCGAGGACGGAUUCACCCCUGGAGCCGCCAGCAGGAGCGCAGCCCUGCUGACACCUUAUUUGGGACUCUGGCCAGAGUUCUGGUGAGAGAAUAUGUUUCUGAUGUUGUUAAACCACCCAGUUUGUGGUUCUUUGUUACACCAGCCACAGGAAACGAAUGCACGUGCCUAGCGGGACAGUGGACCAGAUGAAAUGGCUCAAUGUGGGACCCUUCUGGGGGCCAUCAGGUAGCAGAGGGGGAAGUGAGGAGAGAGGGGCUCAGGAAGACACCAUAAAAAGGAGCAGUUUCUGUCUGCAGACGCACGACUCCCCCGGAGAGCGAGGAGCGGGGCGGCAAUUACAGGAUUUGAACGUUGCUGCCGCAUUUGGGCACCAUGACCAACGGAAGCUUGGAGAGAAGACUUUGCCUUGGCUUCCUGGUGUGAGUAUAAAAAGUGGAGGAGAACGUGCUGGGAAGGUGCUCUGUUCUGCCGGGAGACCAUCGCCGGGCAGCCCCUGCCCACAGGCGAGUUGGGCGGCAAACACGUUUUUUUAACGUGACAACAUUUUCAACAAAAUUUUAACGUCACGUGUUGACAUGGUGCUAUGAAGCGCUGUCAUGGGAUUAAGAGGGAACUCAGAGGGCAGCCAUUGCAUGCUUGGUCCACAUCAGCAGUCACCCCGUAAGAGCCACGGAGAAGACAGCAAGUGGUGGCCCCCUUUUUACUUGUCUGCUCUCCACCUCCAAGGGCUGCAGGAUCUUGAACCUCGCGACAGAACCUUGUUCUGUGUUCUAGUAAUCUGUUACUGGGUAAGAACCACCCCCGAAAUGUAGUACCUUCAAACAGCAUCACUGAUUUUCCCUUCCAGGUGUGACUGGGGGUGAUGUGGUUGCAGCCAGCUGGUGGUUGUGCUGGGUUUUAUCAGAGGUUUCUUCCCUCGCACGGAUGGCGUUUGAUGCUGGCUGUUGGCUAGAACUCCAUCUUUCUCCAUGUGGCCUGGGCUUCCCCCCAGCAUGGCGGCUGGAUUCCGAGAGAGACGGGGAGAUGCAGGAGCUUGGUCGCCCCUGAAGAUCUAUCCUUCUGGCCUCAGAAGUCAGGCAACCCCACAUUUGCCACAUUCUGUUCGUUAAGAGCAAGUCAUUAAGAUGACCCUUAUUCAAGGGAUGGGAACAGGGCUCCAACUCUUGAUGGUGGGGUGUUGAGAAGAAUUUUCAAUGUUUUGGAGUCACCACCCUUUCCUUCUGGAUGUAGUGGAAGGAAGGAAGUGGGGUGGAUUGGCCCCUUAGAGAUUGCAGACAGAAUUCCGAAAACAGCCUCAUGGGAGUGGAGAGCCCACAG